RNAcentral lists this ribosomal RNA (328 nucleotides) under uncultured Neocallimastigales. RNAcentral's name for it is "partial large subunit ribosomal RNA". The record is from RNAcentral. Lineage: Eukaryota; Fungi; Neocallimastigomycota; Neocallimastigomycetes; Neocallimastigales.
GUUGUUUUCUCGAAAAUCAAUUAAAAAUAGUUGGAUUUUGUAUUGUGAUGACUUUAUCAGCUUCCUGUACUUUUUUCUUACUAUUUUUAAUGCACUUUUCGUUUAACAAGUCAACAUCAAUUUCUUUUGUUGUAAAAGAGUCAUUGGAAGGUGGCUUUCACUUCGGUGAAAGUGUUUAUAGCCUUUGGCUUCUGCAAUCGGAGAGAUUGAGGUCUGCAGCGUAGAUCCUUCGGGGUUAGAUACGUAGAUGCUAAGUUAUAAUUAUUUAUAAACAACUUGUUGAUUAUAAGUAAUCAUGUAGCUUACUCGUUUGCGCUAUUUUACCUAC